This is a long non-coding RNA of Zea mays, 586 nucleotides long. RefSeq lists it as uncharacterized. The transcript has 5 exons. Lineage: Eukaryota; Viridiplantae; Streptophyta; Magnoliopsida; Poales; Poaceae. The record is from RefSeq and is marked validated.
CAAGCCUCGGCGGUGACCAUCAUCGAUCUAUGGACCUCGGUGAGUGGAGGUCACGGAUCUACUCCACCGGUGUCGACGAGGUUUGUUUCCCCGUCCUGGAGAAGCGACGACGCAAUAGAUCUUCGUGCACUGCAGAGUCGUCUCCCCCAAGCCGCAAAGGAAUCACUCCACUCCAUCCUCGUUCUUUGAAUCGAUCUGGUGUGGAUCUGAUUUGUAAUGGCUUAUUAGGAUUUAGGCCAGAUUGAAGAGGACUAUAGUCUAUAGAUCAUAUGCUCAUUUCAACAUCAAGGGCAAUUUGAUUCAAUUAAGUCUAGGAUGAUGAUUUUCAGUACCUAGGAUGAAGUUUCAGAGCUGCCACCUAAUUUCAGAGCUGCAAGAUUUCUACAGAAUUGGAAGACUAUGCUACCAAAAAAGCUUUCCUAAUUUACCUAAGAUGAAGUUCAGUAUUGUUUAGGACGAGUCAUAUGUUUAUGUCUUUGUGUCUCCAAAAAUAUUUGUACACGUAUCAAGUGGUGAUUAUUUUAAGUUUCGCUACUCUAUAUAUUGGCUAUUUUAUUUCAAUGAGAAAUGGUUUGUCCAUUGCAAC